Molecule: long non-coding RNA, 5433 nt
Organism: Hemicordylus capensis (graceful crag lizard)
Lineage: Eukaryota; Metazoa; Chordata; Lepidosauria; Squamata; Cordylidae
Exons: 6
Source: RefSeq, a predicted model, not a curated record
AGCAGUUUGCACAGGGGUAAGGUUUGCUGUCCCCAGAGGGCUCACAGUCCACGCAGAAAAAGGGAGACCCCAGCAAGAGCCGCUGGAGGGAUGCCGUGGUGGGGCUGGACAGGGCCAGAUGCUCUCCCCCUGCUUAACCUAAAGGGCAUCACCGCUUUGCUGGGUGCCCCGUUGCUCAGUCCACAGGGGGACCUUGCCUCUCCAAGCAGACUGGGCUAAUCAUUACUUGAUUUUUAUUUGAACAUCUGCGCCCUGCCUUUCUCCACAGGCCCCAAAGUGGCCAACCAAAACUAAAAUCCCAUAGAAAGCAAAAAGGUCAUUUCCCAAAGCGCCAUGAAAUGGGGCACACCCCACAUGCUGUGGGGGCAGAGCAGGCACUGGAAAACUACCACUAGAAGACAAACAACCCUGUUCAAAGCAGCCAUUGAGCAGCAACUGUUACCCAGCAACCAUCAAUGAUAGAACCCUGGCCCUGUUUGAGCAGGAAUAACUGUCCUUCUGGCCUUCCUCUUCCCUGGGAGUUACCAACCUCUCCUCCUGUGCCUUUCAAAGCAACCCAAGAAAAGUGUCAGGAGAUAAGGAUCAGAUGAGGAUCUGGGGCCCAAUUCUCAUUCAGCCUGAAGCUCCCUGGGGGGAAUUGGGGCCAAUCUCUUGCUAUCUACUGGCUUUUGGCCAAAGGCAUUCAAGACUCUACAGAAAUGGAUUGCGAGAACGCCUGACCUGAGAAAUUGACACAAGAUUGAGCGGAGGGGAAUGCACUGUUUAAUGAGAAGAAGGCAAAUCACCAAAGAGGGCGGGAUUCCUGCGAUGAGGUUGGGAGGUCGGGAGAAGCUAAGAAGAAGGAGAGAAGAGACUCUACAGUGGGAGAACCACUUUGGGAAGAGCAGGAUCAGCCCCUUUAUCAUUUCGGUUUCCCUCUUCUGCUGCACCUUCUUCAGUUCGACAGUAUCGCUUUUUUGGUAAUCUGGCGACCGGAACGAUACACUUUACUUCUGAGGAACAGCUACAACUGAAAACAAGGUCAGCUUCAUGUUGUUGUUGUUGUUGUUGUUGUUGUUGUUGUUAUAGCCCAGUAAGCUUCCAGACCACCUUGGGUUUAUUCUCUCUUUUUGACAGUUAAAGCACCACAUUUUCAUUGAUGCCAGGAGAUGUUGAACAGUAGGGCACACAUCCUGGGGUGCCUCUGUUAUGGCACAAGAGAUAUUCCCAGACUGAUUGGGCAAGGUUCGGACCACAGUGUGUGUCUGGACAUUUAAAUUUGCAUUCUGAUUGGGCAAGACCUCUAGGGUUUUUAAAUUCUGUCUUGAUCGAAUUGGGCAAGAUCUCUAGGAUUUUUAAAUUGUAUAUGGAAUUGGGCAAGAUCAAGGCCUGUGUGGGCCUCGAUUUUUAAAUUGCAUCCCCCAGCUUGACCUUUACAAUUGUAUUCUGAUUGGGCAAGACCUCUAGGGUUUUUAAAUUCUGUAUGGAAUUGGGCAAGAUCAGGGCCUGUGUGGGCCUCGAUUUUUAAAUUGCACCCCCCAGCUUGACCUUUACAUUUGUAUUCUGAUUGGGCAAGACCUCUAGGGUUUUUAAAUUCUGUAUGGAAUUGGGCAAGAUCAGGGCCUGUGUGGGCCUCGAUUUUUAAAUUGCAUCCCCCAGCUUGACUGAGCACACAAUCUCUAGGUUCCCUUAGAGUGAAUUGGGCAUGAUACCAUUUUUUUAAAAUUCCAUGUUUGGGCAGCUUUAAGCCAGUGGACUGGAGUCCCAUGAGCUUGGAAUCUCCAAUGGCUCAACUGGGCAAGACAAUUGGUUUCUUUAAAUUCUGUCAGGGCCUUGUGGACAUAUUUUUCAGCCAGGGGUGUAGUGUUAAAUUUGGAUCGACUGACCACCCACUUUUAUUCAUGCUCAUGAUAAAGUCUGAAUCAAAUGGAUCACGUUGCCUGUUUUAUAUGCGCUGUUUCCCAAGUCUUGAGUGACCCAUGAAGAGAUGAGUUCUUGUUUAGUGCGCUCAUGGCCAUCUCGGAUCCUUAUUCCUUACUCAAGGAAAGCAUUGAUUUUGAAUGCUGGGCUCAAGGUUUUGAUGCUUUUCUGUUUAUUGAUAAAAUGGAAGGGAUCAUUUCACAUGCAAAUGUUUAAAUUGGUUGUGUCAUGCAAGGGUUUUGAGAACUGUCUGGACUAAAGAAAUAGUUUGAUUGCCUUGUCAGCAAGAGAGUUGCCUGCAGCGUAGGCGGCAACCAUGCUAUCUUGCACAGACACAAAAAGCCUUUUGGAAGGUUGUGUCUUUGUUGAAGAUGAUGUUUAGCAUUUUAGCAUUCAAGACUCUUCAGACACGGAUUGCGAGAACGCCUGGCCUGAGAAAUUGACACCAGAGUGAAUGGAGGCGAAUGCACCUGCUAAAGUUGAGGAAGGCAGAUCACCAAAGGCGGCAGGAGUCCUUUGGUGAGGAUGCGAGGUCGGGAGAAGCUAAGAAGAAGGAGAGAAGAGACUCUACAGUGGGAGAACCACUUUGGGAAGAGCAGGAUCAGCCCCUUUAUCAUUUCGGUUUCCCUCUUCUGCUGCACCUUCUUCAGUUCGACAGUAUCGCUUUUUUGGUAAUCUGGCGACCGGAACGAUACACUUUACUUCUGAGGAACAGCUACAACUGGAAACAAGGUCAGCUUCAUGUUGUUGUUGUUGUUGUUGUUGUUAUAGCCCAGUAAGCUUCCAGACCACCUUUGGUUUAUACUUUCUUUUUGACAGUUAAAGCACCACAUUUUCAUUGAUGCCAGGAGAUGUUGAACAGUAGGGCACACAUCUUGGGGUGCCUCUGUUAUGGCACAAGAGAUAUUCCCAGACUGAUUGGGCAAGGUUCGGACCACAAUGUGUGUCUGGACAUUUAAAUUUGCAUUCUGAUUGGGCAAGACCUCUAGGGUUUUUAAAUUCUGUCUUGAUCGAAUUGGGCAAGAUCUCUAGGAUUUUUAAAUUGGAUAUGGAAUUGGGCAAGAUCAGGGCCUGUGUGGGCCUCGAUUUUUAAAUUGCAUCCCCCAGCUUGACCUUUACAAUUGUAUUCUGAUUGGGCAAGACCUCUAGGGUUUUUAAAUUCUGUAUGGAUUGGGCAAGAUCAGGGCCUGUGUGGGCCUCGAUUUUUAAAUUGCAUCCCCCAGCUUGACCUUUACAAUUGUAUUCUGAUUGGGCAAGACCUCUAGGGUUUUUAAAUUCUGUAUGGAAUUGGGCAAGAUCAGGGCCUGUGAGGGCCUCGAUUUUUAAAUUGCAUCCCCCAGCUUGACUGAGCACACAAUCUCUAGGUUCCCUUAGAGUGAAUUGGGCAUGAUACCAUUUUUUUAAAAUUCCAUGUUUGGGCAGCUUUAAGCCAGUGGACUGGAGUCCCAUGAGCUUGGAAUCUCCAAUGGCUCAACUGGGCAAGACAAUUGGUGUCUUUAAAUUCUGUCAGGGACUUGUGGACAUAUUUUUCAGCCAGGGGUAUAGUGUUAAAUUUGGAUCGAAUGACCAACCACUUUUAUUCAUGCUCAUGAUAAAGUCUGAAUCAAAUGGAUCACGUUGCGUGUUUUCUAUGCACGGUGUCCCAAGUCUUGAGUGACCCAUGAAGAGAUGAGUUCUUCUUUAGUGCGCUCAUGGCCAUCUCGGAUCCUUAUUCCUUACUCAAGGAAAGCAUUGAUUUUGAAUGCUGGGCUCAAGGUUUUGAUGCUUUUCUGUCUAUUGAUAAAAUGGAAGGAAUCAUUUCACAUGCAAAUGUUUAAAUUGGUUGUGUCAUGCAAGGGUUUUGAGAACUGUCUGGACUAAAGAAAUAGUUUGAUUGCCUUGUCAGCAAGAGAGGUGCCUGCAGCCUAGGCGGCAACCAUGCUAUCUUGCACAGACACAAAAAGCCUUUUGGAAGGUUGUGUCUUUGUUGAAGAUGAUGUUUAGCAUUUUAGCAUUCAAGACUCUUCAGACACGGAUUGCGAGAACGCCUGGCCUGAGAAAUUGACACCCGAGUGAAUGGAGGCGAAUGCACCUGCUUAAGUUGAGGAAGGCAGAUCACCAAAGGCGGCAGGAGUCCUUUGGUGAGGAUGGGGUGAGUAACUGGGCCUGACUGGUUGGAUGAUGCCCCAUCUGUACUGGGCCUUUUCCAAACCAGAUGCUAAUUUUUUUUUCCUUUAAGUUCGGCACUGACAUUUUUAUUGACUUUCUGAAGGGGUAUUGCGACAGCAACCUGGGGAACUCUGGAAAUGGGCCCAGAAUUAUGUAAGGAUGACCAGAAACUGUAUAUUUAUUAAAAUUGACUUGGACCUUUCUUUUUAAAUAUAUAUAUAUUUUAAAAUAACCUGGAAAUUGUACUGUCAGAGUGAAUGCAGAAGAAAAGUGACGUAACAUCAGAGAAUCGCUGGGGAAGUGAUGUGAAACUGAGGUAAUCUUCUGCCUUCUUUUUCAAAUGGUAAGUGAAAUAAAGGCAAAAAGUAAGAAAUAUCUUACAUAAAAGAUGCAUGGGUGAGCAGGCGUUUGGGCAAAUGGACCCAUCCCCCCACCAGCCCCCCAGCCCCAAUCAGUGACAAAAUGUGGAGCCCCACCACCACAUGGAGCUCUAAAAUGGGUCGGGAAAUCCCGGAUGGUGUUGGGGAACUCUGACUCAAUGUAGGCUUCCCAACGUCGGGAUUGGCUGAUCCCCGACAUCCACCAACGUGGCCCAUCUCAGGUCAUGUCCAACACAACUGAUGCAGACUUGAACAGCCGUAUAUUAAGCACCUUCUCUCUUUCUGUUCCGAUUCUGCCCCCAAACUGAGCUGAACAGACCCAAGCCCAGAGAUGGAAGGGGAGCUGAAAAGGCUGGAGAACAGCAGAGACGCUCUCAAGGCUGGCUUCUACGAAUCCUUCGGUGGACUGCAUCCUCCUCAUGACUCUGAUGAGAGUAGCAAUGGACCGAGAGAGAACCUACAUUACGUGUUCAGGACUACAGAAAUCCCCCUCCCCUUGGCCUCGUGCAGAGGGGCGGGAGUUUGUCCCAGCCCCGCUCUGCACGAGGCCCAAGAAGCGGGCCGAUUGGCCCUUUGGGUUAGGGGAUGGGGUUUCGGCCGGGAUGAUCCCCGCCCCGUUCUCCUCAGUUUUGGCCAGGCAUUCCCCUCCCUCCCUCCCUGGUACAGAGCGGGUCUAGCGACUGGUCGCCCAACGGGGCCGAGUAGGAAUUUUUGGCUCCCAACGCAUUGGCCAGUGUUGGGUUUUUUUUUCGCCUACUCCGUUCUGUGUUCCAGGUGUGUAGUUAGAGUUAGGCCGGUCACAAUGGCAGUAACAGUGCGGGCGGGGUGGUAAUUUGAGGGUUUUCCGAGCCAGGGUGUGUCGCCCAGUAAGGUGCUGGGUAGGACGUCAGAGUUCUAACCCGGUCCUCUUAGCCCGCACUGUUCUCUAAGGGUGAUUAAUCACCUGGUGUUCCAGUCCACCAUGUCUUUUGUUACAGUUAAUAAAGUUGUGGCCCUUUUACCCAUA